This 494-nucleotide ribosomal RNA is filed under the name uncultured bacterium. RNAcentral's name for it is "partial 16S ribosomal RNA". It matches the Rfam family "Bacterial small subunit ribosomal RNA", at positions 28 to 507 of the family's 1533-position model. The record is from RNAcentral.
GACGAACGCUGGCGGCGUGCUUAACACAUGCAAGUCGAACGGAAAGGCCUGCUUUCCCUUGUGGAUUGCGGGUGCUCGAGUGGCGAACGGGUGAGUAACACGUGAGUGAUCUGCCCCCAACUUGGGUAUAAGCCUGGGAAACUGGGUCUAAUUCCCGAUAGGACUGCAGGGUGGUGCCUGUGGUGGAAAACGAUUUUCUAGUGGUUGGGGAUGAGCUCGCGGCCUAUCAGCUUGUUGGUGGGGUAAUGGCCUACCAAGGCGGCGACGGGUAGCCGGCCUGGGAGGGUGGACGGCCACAUUGAGACUGAGAUACGGCCCAGACUCCUACGGGAGGCAGCAGUGGGGAAUAUUGCACAAUGGGCGGAAGCCUGAUGCAGCGACGCCGCGUGGGGGAUGACGGCCUUCGGGUUGUAAACUCCUUUCGACCGCGAGGAAGCCACCUGGUUGGAAGGGUGGUGACGGUAGUGGUAGAAGAAGCACCGGCUAACUACGUG